Acanthosepion pharaonis is the source of this 110-nucleotide non-coding RNA. The record is from the annotation of a GenBank genome assembly. Lineage: Eukaryota; Metazoa; Mollusca; Cephalopoda; Sepiida; Sepiidae.
UACGGCCACAUAACGUUGAAAAGCCAGUUCCCGUUCUCUCACCAAAGUUAAACAACGUUGAGCCUGGUCAGUACCUAAAUGGGUGACCGCUUGGGAAUACCAAGUGGAUG